AUAAGGUAGAGAUAUUGUUGUCUUUUUGCAUAUAGCACUCUGUUAUGAAAGACAUCAAUUCACUAGCUUUCAA
RNAcentral lists this microRNA precursor (73 nucleotides) under Drosophila mojavensis. RNAcentral describes it as "Dmo-Mir-962_pre stem-loop". The record is from RNAcentral. Lineage: Eukaryota; Metazoa; Arthropoda; Insecta; Diptera; Drosophilidae.